RNAcentral lists this ribosomal RNA (301 nucleotides) under uncultured bacterium. RNAcentral's name for it is "partial 16S ribosomal RNA". It matches the Rfam family "Bacterial small subunit ribosomal RNA", at positions 509 to 807 of the family's 1533-position model. The record is from RNAcentral.
CAGCAGCCGCGGGAAUACGGAGGGUGCAAGCGUUAUCCGGAUUUAUUGGGUUUAAAGGGUCCGUAGGCGGAUCUGUAAGUCAGUGGUGAAAUCUCACAGCUUAACUGUGAAACUGCCAUUGAUACUGCAGGUCUUGAGUAAAUUUGAAUUGGCUGGAAUAAGUAGUGUAGCGGUGAAAUGCAUAGAUAUUACUUAGAACACCAAUUGCGAAGGCAGGUCACUAAGAUUUAACUGACGCUGAUGGACGAAAGCGUGGGGAGCGAACAGGAUUAGAUACCCCCGUAGUCCCUGUCUCUUAUAC